GCACCCAUAGCUCAGCUGGAUAGAGCGCUGCCCUCCGAAGGCAGAGGUCAGAGGUUCGAAUCCUCUUGGGUGCACCA
RNAcentral lists this transfer RNA (77 nucleotides) under Hirschia baltica ATCC 49814. Its description in RNAcentral is "tRNA-Arg (CCG) (tRNA-Arg-CCG-1-1)". It matches the Rfam family "tRNA". From Rfam's summary of the family: Transfer RNA (tRNA) molecules are approximately 80 nucleotides in length. Their secondary structure includes four short double-helical elements and three loops (D, anti-codon, and T loops). RNAcentral also lists the same sequence under 5 other names. Lineage: Bacteria; Pseudomonadati; Pseudomonadota; Alphaproteobacteria; Hyphomonadales; Hyphomonadaceae. The record is from RNAcentral.